Molecule: ribosomal RNA, 882 nt
Filed under: uncultured Bacillota bacterium
Lineage: Bacteria; Bacillati; Bacillota
Description: bacterial SSU rRNA
Rfam family: Bacterial small subunit ribosomal RNA
Source: RNAcentral
GGCGUGCCUAACACAUGCAAGUCGAACGAAGUUACUUGCUUAGAUCUCUUCGGAGUGACGAGCUUUUAACUUAGUGGCGGACGGGUGAGUAACACGUGAGCAACCUGCCUUUCAGAGGGGGAUAACGGCUGGAAGCGGUCGCUAAUACCGCAUGACAUAUUGAAUCGGCAUCGGUUUAAUAUCAAAGGAGCAAUCCGCUGAAAGAUGGGCUCGCGUCUGAUUAGAUAGUUGGUGGGGUAACGGCCUACCAAGUCGACGAUCAGUAGCCGGACUGAGAGGUUGAACGGCCACAUUGGGACUGAGAUACGGCCCAGACUCCUACGGGAGGCAGCAGUGGGGAGUAUUGCACAAUGGGGGAAACCCUGAUGCAGCAACGCCGCGUGAAGGAAGAUGGUUUUCGGAUUGUAAACUUCUUUUCUUAGUGAAGAAGCAAGUGACGGUAGCUAAGGAAUAAGCAUCGGCUAACUACGUGCCAGCAGCCGCGGUAAUACGUAGGAUGCGAGCGUUAUCCGGAAUUACUGGGUGUAAAGGGAGCGCAGGCGGGACUGCAAGUUGGAUGUGAAAUACCGCAGCUCAACUGCGGAGCUGCAUCCAAAACUGUAGUUCUUGAGUGGAGUAGAGGCAAGCGGAAUUCCGAGUGUAGCGGUGAAAUGCGUAGAUAUUCGGAGGAACACCAGUGGCGAAGGCGGCUUGCUGGGCUCUAACUGACGCUGAGGCUCGAAAGUGCGGGGAGCAAACAGGAUUAGAUACCCUGGUAGUCCACACUGUAAACGAUGAUAGCUAGGUGUGGGGGGUCUGACCCCUUCCGUGCCGGAGUUAACGCAAUAAGCUAUCCACCUGGGGAGUACGGCCGCAAGGUUGCAACUCAAAUGAAUUGACGGA